CGCUGUCCAUUCUGAGCAUUG
RNAcentral lists this microRNA (21 nucleotides) under Physcomitrium patens. RNAcentral describes it as "ppt-miR390c-3p". Its record names the gene ppt-miR390c-3p. The record is from miRBase by way of RNAcentral. Lineage: Eukaryota; Viridiplantae; Streptophyta; Bryopsida; Funariales; Funariaceae.